This is a long non-coding RNA of Puntigrus tetrazona (Sumatra barb), 302 nucleotides long. RefSeq lists it as uncharacterized. The record is from RefSeq and is a predicted model, not a curated record. The transcript is spliced from 3 exons. Lineage: Eukaryota; Metazoa; Chordata; Actinopteri; Cypriniformes; Cyprinidae.
GAGGAACAUCCUUAAACCUCGUAAUGAGCAGGAGCAGAUGGAGGAGAAGAGAGAGAUCAGAUGCCGGCUCUCACGCAAGCUGAGUCAGAGGCCCACAGUGGAGGAUCUGCGGCGAGCGAGGAUCCUGAUCCGCUUCUGUGAUUACGUGGAGGUGGCAGACGCUCAGGACUACGACAGACGCACAGACAAACCCUGGACGAGACUCACGGCGGCUGACAAGGCAAGUGUGUGUGGACUGAUGAUGCAGAUUGGAAAUGCAAAUGUUGGGAUGAUUUUUCAACCACAUAAACGAAUAUUUUAUU